Molecule: microRNA precursor, 96 nt
Filed under: Nematostella vectensis (starlet sea anemone)
Lineage: Eukaryota; Metazoa; Cnidaria; Anthozoa; Actiniaria; Edwardsiidae
Description: microRNA nve-mir-2034 precursor
Source: miRBase by way of RNAcentral
GUGAAAAGAGUGUAGUUUUACUGAUGUUUUUAGAAUUAGCCCCCUAAAUGAAGGGCUAAUGCAAAAAAUGUCAGUGCAAAUGCAUGAAACUUACAA